CCUACUCCUGGAGGCGUUGCAGGUGUGGUUGCUGUGUCACAUGUGUGUCAGUAGAUGGCAGAGAGGAGAGGCCAUGUCUACACUCAGUGUUCUGACCUGUGAACAUCUGAGUGUUAGAAGCCAACAUA
Mastomys coucha (southern multimammate mouse) is the source of this 128-nucleotide small nucleolar RNA. RefSeq annotates it as small nucleolar RNA SNORA17. The record is from RefSeq and is a predicted model, not a curated record. The transcript has a single exon. NCBI's taxonomy places the organism in Eukaryota, Metazoa, Chordata, Mammalia, Rodentia, Muridae.